Molecule: ribosomal RNA, 301 nt
Filed under: uncultured bacterium
Lineage: Bacteria
Description: partial 16S ribosomal RNA
Rfam family: Bacterial small subunit ribosomal RNA
Source: RNAcentral
CAGUCGCCGCGGGAAUACAGAGGGUGCAAGCGUUAAUCGGAAUUACUGGGCGUAAAGUGCGCGUAGGUGGUUUGUUAAGUUGGAUGUGAAAUCCCCGGGCUCAACCUGGGAACUGCAUCCAAAACUGGCAAGCUAGAGUAUGGUAGAGGGUGGUGGAAUUUCCUGUGUAGCGGUGAAAUGCGUAGAUAUAGGAAGGAACACCAGUGGCGAAGGCGACCACCUGGACUGAUACUGACACUGAGGUGCGAAAGCGUGGGGAGCAAACAGGAUUAGAUACCCCGGUAGUCCCUGUCUCUUAUAC